RNAcentral lists this ribosomal RNA (1188 nucleotides) under Klebsiella michiganensis. RNAcentral's name for it is "partial 23S ribosomal RNA". It matches the Rfam family "Bacterial large subunit ribosomal RNA", at positions 1746 to 2925 of the family's 2925-position model. The record is from RNAcentral. Lineage: Bacteria; Pseudomonadati; Pseudomonadota; Gammaproteobacteria; Enterobacterales; Enterobacteriaceae.
GUGAAGUGACUUGCUCAUGGAGCUGAAAUCAGUCGAAGAUACCAGCUGGCUGCAACUGUUUAUUAAAAACACAGCACUGUGCAAACACGAAAGUGGACGUAUACGGUGUGACGCCUGCCCGGUGCCGGAAGGUUAAUUGAUGGGGUUAUCCGUAAGGAGAAGCUCUUGAUCGAAGCCCCGGUAAACGGCGGCCGUAACUAUAACGGUCCUAAGGUAGCGAAAUUCCUUGUCGGGUAAGUUCCGACCUGCACGAAUGGCGUAAUGAUGGCCAGGCUGUCUCCACCCGAGACUCAGUGAAAUUGAACUCGCUGUGAAGAUGCAGUGUACCCGCGGCAAGACGGAAAGACCCCGUGAACCUUUACUAUAGCUUGACACUGAACACUGGUCCUUGAUGUGUAGGAUAGGUGGGAGGCUUUGAAGUGUGGACGCCAGUCUGCAUGGAGCCAUCCUUGAAAUACCACCCUUUAAUGGCUGGUGUUCUAACGUGGGCCCGUAAUCCGGGUUGCGGACAGUGUCUGGUGGGUAGUUUGACUGGGGCGGUCUCCUCCUAAAGAGUAACGGAGGAGCACGAAGGUCAGCUAAUCCUGGUCGGACAUCAGGAGGUUAGUGCAAUGGCAUAAGCUGGCUUGACUGCGAGCGUGACGGCGCGAGCAGGUGCGAAAGCAGGUCAUAGUGAUCCGGUGGUUCUGAAUGGAAGGGCCAUCGCUCAACGGAUAAAAGGUACUCCGGGGAUAACAGGCUGAUACCGCCCAAGAGUUCAUAUCGACGGCGGUGUUUGGCACCUCGAUGUCGGCUCAUCACAUCCUGGGGCUGAAGUAGGUCCCAAGGGUAUGGCUGUUCGCCAUUUAAAGUGGUACGCGAGCUGGGUUUAGAACGUCGUGAGACAGUUCGGUCCCUAUCUGCCGUGGGCGCUGGAGAAUUGAGGGGGGCUGCUCCUAGUACGAGAGGACCGGAGUGGACGCAUCACUGGUGUUCGGGUUGUCAUGCCAAUGGCAUUGCCCGGUAGCUAAAUGCGGAAGAGAUAAGUGCUGAAAGCAUCUAAGCACGAAACUUGCCCCGAGAUGAGUUCUCCCUGACUCCUUGAGAGUCCUGAAGGAACGUUGAAGACGACGACGUUGAUAGGCCGGGUGUGUAAGCGCAGCGAUGCGUUGAGCUAACCGGUACUAAUGAACCGUGAGGCUUAACCUU